GUAGGUGAACCUGCGGAAGGAUCAUUACCGAGAGACAUGGGGUCUAACCGGCCCCGACUCUUCAUCCGUGUCUACAUACCCAUGUUGCUUUGGCGGGCCCUGAGUUCGUCUCGGGGAGCAUUCGCUCCCGAGUGCCCGCCAAUGGCCCCUUAAAAUUCUUGUAAUCAGUGUCGUCUGAGUAAAACACAAAAUAACUAAAACUUUCAACAACGGAUCUCUUGGUUCUG
RNAcentral lists this unclassified non-coding RNA (227 nucleotides) under rhizosphere metagenome. RNAcentral describes it as "partial ribosomal RNA internal transcribed spacer region". The record is from RNAcentral.